UACAGAUCGUGUGAAUCAUCGAAUCUUUGAACGCAUCUUGCGCUAUUGUGAACUCACGAUAGCACGUCUGUUUGAGUAUCAACAACACCUCUCUUCACUCUGUGUGAAAGCAUGUAGUGAUGACUUUUGAGUUUAGCUGAUUCAGCUAUACUUCAAGUGCAAAGUCUGGCGUAUGCUAGUCGACAGUAUUGUUUCAAUCUGAAGACUGCUAUGUAGAAGGACAAGCUCACUCCUCUUUUGAAGAGUGUUCAACCAUUGAUCUCAAAUCAGACGAGACUACCCGCUGAACUUAAGCAUAUCAAUAAGCGGAGG
Molecule: ribosomal RNA, 312 nt
Filed under: uncultured Basidiomycota
Lineage: Eukaryota; Fungi; Basidiomycota
Description: eukaryotic LSU rRNA
Rfam family: 5.8S ribosomal RNA (bases 1-81)
Source: RNAcentral